This 494-nucleotide ribosomal RNA is filed under the name uncultured bacterium. RNAcentral describes it as "partial 16S ribosomal RNA". It matches the Rfam family "Bacterial small subunit ribosomal RNA", at positions 28 to 507 of the family's 1533-position model. The record is from RNAcentral.
GACGAACGCUGGCGGCGUGCUUAACACAUGCAAGUCGAACGGUGAAGCGCCUUCCUUUUUGGUGGGUGUGGAUGAGUGGCGAACGGGUGAGUAACACGUGAGUAACCUGCCCCCUUCUUCUGGAUAACCGCAUGAAAGUGUGGCUAAUACGGGAUAUUCUGGGUCUGUCGCAUGAUGGGUCUGGGAAAGAUAUUGUUUCGGUGGGGGAUGGGCUCGCAGCCUAUCAGCUUGUUGGUGGGGUGAUGGCCUACCAAGGCGGUGACGGGUAGCCGGCCUGAGAGGGUGGACGGUCACACUGGGACUGAGACACGGCCCAGACUCCUACGGGAGGCAGCAGUGGGGAAUAUUGCACAAUGGGCGCAAGCCUGAUGCAGCGACGCCGCGUGAGGGAUGGAGGCCUUCGGGUUGUGAACCUCUUUCGCCAGUGAAGCAGGCCUGCCUCGUUUGUGGGUGGGUUGACGGUAGCUGGAGAAGAAGCGCCGGCUAACUACGUG